This 406-nucleotide ribosomal RNA is filed under the name uncultured bacterium. RNAcentral describes it as "partial 16S ribosomal RNA". It matches the Rfam family "Bacterial small subunit ribosomal RNA", at positions 30 to 526 of the family's 1533-position model. The record is from RNAcentral.
AUUGAACGCUGGCGGCAGGCUUAACACAUGCAAGUCGAACGAGUGGCGGACGGGUGAGUAAUGCUUGGGAAUCUAGCCUAUGGCGGGGGAUAACUACUGGAAACUGUAGCUAAUACCGCGUACCAUAGGAUGAGCCCAUGUGGGAUUAGCUAGUUGGUGGGGUAAAGGCUCACCAAGGCGACGAUCCCUAGCUGGUCUGAGAGGAUGACCAGCCACACUGGGACUGAGACACGGCCCAGACUCCUACGGGAGGCAGCAGUGGGGAAUAUUGCACAAUGGGGGCAACCCUGAUGCAGCCAUGCCGCGUGUAUGAUGAAGGCCCUAGGGUUGUAAAGUACUUUCAGUCGGGAAGCGUUACCGACAGAAGAAGCACCGGCUAACUCCGUGCCAGCAGCCGCGGUAAUUC